This is a long non-coding RNA of Humulus lupulus (European hop), 1341 nucleotides long. RefSeq lists it as uncharacterized. Lineage: Eukaryota; Viridiplantae; Streptophyta; Magnoliopsida; Rosales; Cannabaceae. The transcript is spliced from 3 exons. The record is from RefSeq and is a predicted model, not a curated record.
GUAAUCCCAUCAGUUUUCUUUAGCUAAUUGAGUUUCUGCUUCAGUUAGGGUCACAGUUAUGAUCUAUGAAUGGCAUGUGAUUUUUUUGCACAAAGUAAAAUGUGUAUGUAUCUUUUGUUAUUUGUUCUCUUAUCUGUCUCUAUUUUUGUUUAACAUAAACUUAUUUGAUGGACUUUCCGAAACACUCAUUUUGUAAAGUUUUAUAUCGUUUUUUCUUUUUUUAAUUUUUUUUCGAGUAAUGUGGGCAUUGUUUCAAUACCAAAUAACACAACCUGUUUGUUGUCUAUUGGUAAGGUAUAUUGUAGUUGUUGAAAUCUUCUGUAAAUAUGUCAGUUUUCGUUACAGUACAGCUAGGGAACUUUCUUAUGAAGAAGCUAAUCGACAUUUCUGCUAGAGCUAAUUUGAUGACAAUCCUAAACUUUUUAAUAACUAAUAAGCUUUCACACUCAACUUUCAUUGACUUUAACUAAACCAGCAAAGCUUCAUCUUAAUCAUACACUCAUGGUUAUAAAUAUCUCAGUCGACAUAUGUGUGUAUGUAUAUUUUUGAAAGUGAACAUUACAUAUUUACACCCCAAAAAGAACUUUGGUACUUACUUUCAAGCCAAAGAUGAAGUGCUGUAUUGUAAUAUAACAUUGUUGAGAGCAUUCUUUGGAAUCCUUAUUGUCGUUUAUUUCACUGAAUAUUUUAAAUUCAUGAUAUGCAGUUUUUAUUUUGAUAUUUUUUUCUGUAACUUCUUAAUGAGAAGAAAUUCUAUUUUGUUGUUUGCUUCAGGGGCCUAGUUGGUUAUAGGAGUGUUUUUAGCAGUGACACCCGUGGAACUGGAUUUAUGCAUCGUGCAUUCUUAUGUAUGAUUUAUUUUCUUACUUCACCAUUUUUCUUCCUUGUCAUUCAGCUAUUUUGCUGUGCUAGUUAUUUUCUAGCAUCAUUAGCAGACUUACUUUCCUGCUGACCAAGUUUUUAAUACUUAGUGCCAUCUUAAAUUUGUACCAGUUUAAUUCUGUAUUGUAAAUGUGUAUGAUAAUGCUUAUUUGACCGUCUAUGAACCCAAGGUUAAGGUCGACUUGACUGCUUAUGUGGAGAAGCAUGAUUUUUGUUUUGAUGCUGUUCUCAGUGAGCAUGUCACCAAUGAUGAGGAAGCUUUCUUCAUGCUCUGACUUCUUCACCAAGAAAGGUUGAGAGGUUUGCUACAAAGCCGAGGGGAUAUCUGUGGCAAGGCUUCGAUCAAAUUGAAACUUUGCAAGAGACUUAAUUCCAGAACUGUAUUUCUUGGGGCCGAAAAUUUCUUAAUAAAUACCUAUUACCAAACACAUAUAUAAGUAAAAAUAAAUUGCAGGAUGA